Molecule: ribosomal RNA, 518 nt
Filed under: uncultured bacterium
Lineage: Bacteria
Description: partial 16S ribosomal RNA
Rfam family: Bacterial small subunit ribosomal RNA
Source: RNAcentral
GACGAACGCUGGCGGCGUGCUUAACACAUGCAAGUCGAACGGAGAAUUUAUUUCGGUAAAUUCUUAGUGGCGAACGGGUGAGUAACGCGUGGGCAACCUGCCCUUCAGAUGGGGACAACAUCCCGAAAGGGGUGCUAAUACCGAAUACGAUCACGCUGCCGCAUGGCGGUGUGAUGAAAGAUGGCCUCUAUUUAUAAGCUAUCGCUGAAGGAUGGGCCUGCGUCUGAUUAGCUAGUUGGUGGGGUAACGGCCUACCAAGGCGAUGAUCAGUAGCCGGUCUGAGAGGAUGAACGGCCACAUUGGGACUGAGACACGGCCCAAACUCCUACGGGAGGCAGCAGUGGGGAAUAUUCCGCAAUGGACGAAAGUCUGACGGAGCAACGCCGCGUGAGUGAUGAAGGUUUUCGGACUGUAAAACUCUGUUGUUUAGGACGAGAGUGCCUGUUGCAAAUAGUUGCAGGUAUUGACGGUACUGAACGAGGAAGCCACGGCUAACUACGUGCCAGCAGCCGCAGUAA